This 497-nucleotide ribosomal RNA is filed under the name uncultured bacterium. RNAcentral describes it as "partial 16S ribosomal RNA". It matches the Rfam family "Bacterial small subunit ribosomal RNA", at positions 28 to 507 of the family's 1533-position model. The record is from RNAcentral.
GAUGAACGCUGGCGGCGUGCCUAAUACAUGCAAGUCGAGCGAACGGACGAGAAGCUUGCUUCUCUGAUGUUAGCGGCGGACGGGUGAGUAACACGUGGAUAACCUACCUAUAAGACUGGGAUAACCUCGGGAAACCGGAGCUAAUACCGGAUAAUAUUUUGAACCGCAUGGUUCAAAAGUGAAAGGCGGUCUUGCUGUCACUUAUAGAUGGAUCCGCGCUGCAUUAGCUAGUUGGUAAGGUAACGGCUUACCAAGGCAACGAUGCAUAGCCGACCUGAGAGGGUGAUCGGCCACACUGGAACUGAGACACGGUCCAGACUCCUACGGGAGGCAGCAGUAGGGAAUCUUCCGCAAUGGGCGAAAGCCUGACGGAGCAACGCCGCGUGAGUGAUGAAGGUCUUCGGAUCGUAAAACUCUGUUAUUAGGGAAGAACAUAUGUGUAAGUAACUGUGCACAUCUUGACGGUACCUAAUCAGAAAGCCACGGCUAACUACGUG